Molecule: ribosomal RNA, 253 nt
Filed under: uncultured bacterium
Lineage: Bacteria
Description: partial 16S ribosomal RNA
Rfam family: Bacterial small subunit ribosomal RNA
Source: RNAcentral
AACGUAGGUGGCGAGCGUUAUCCGGAUUUACUGGGCGUAAAGGGUGUGCAGGCGGGUGUUCAAGUGGUGUAUGAAAGGUUUCGGCUCAACCGAGAUAGGUUAUGCCAGACUGUUUACCUAGAGUGUGAGAGAGGGACGUGGAAUUCCGGGUGUAGUGGUGAAAUGCGUAGAUAUCAGGAGGAACACCUAUUGCGAAGGCAGCUCGCUGGGACGUAACUGACGCUGAGACGCGAAAGCGUGGGGAGCAAACAGG